UAUAAAUUUUCUUUGUCAACGAUUUUCAUUUAGCAUUUUAUCAAGUUAAUAUUUACACAUUUCCUAUUUGGUACUUUUCUUAGAGAUUUUAGCAGGAUAAAUUUUAGAUGCCAAGUAACAAAACCAUAUUUAAAGUUAAGUGCAAUAUUAAAAAUUGCAAAACUUCUAAAAUAAGAAGUGACAAGAUACAUGAACAUUAUAAACAUAAACAUCCUCAUGUCAAGCCAGCUGAUAUGAAAUUUACAAAGGUAGCCAUCAAAAGAGAUAAUAAUAAUUGGGUAUCUUUAAAUUGUGAUAUUCCAUAUAAUAUCACAAAUGGAGUUGAAACCCAGUUGCAAAAAAAGACAAUAACAUCUUACUUCCAAAAAAAAAUCUCAGUUAUUGAAGAUUCACAAAUUGUAUUAUCUCCUCAUCCAAUCCCCAGUUCCAGUGAGGUGUUUACUUUGUAUGAUGAGCAAAUCUCCAAUAUUGAAGAUUCACAAAUUGUAUUAUCUUCUCAUCCAAUCCCCAGUUCCAGUGAGGCGCUUACUUUGCAUGAUGAGGUAUUUAAUUUAAAUACGAAUUAUAUGAUAACUUUUGAAGAAAAUAAAUUAGGACAUUUAAAUAUUUCCAACAUUUAUUGAUUAACUUAAUUAUA
Long non-coding RNA from Gordionus sp. m RMFG-2023, 637 nucleotides. RefSeq lists it as uncharacterized. The record is from RefSeq and is a predicted model, not a curated record. NCBI's taxonomy places the organism in Eukaryota, Metazoa, Nematomorpha, Gordioida, Chordodea, Parachordodidae. The transcript has 5 exons.